RNAcentral lists this ribosomal RNA (497 nucleotides) under uncultured bacterium. RNAcentral's name for it is "partial 16S ribosomal RNA". It matches the Rfam family "Bacterial small subunit ribosomal RNA", at positions 28 to 507 of the family's 1533-position model. The record is from RNAcentral.
GAUGAACGCUGGCGGCGUGCCUAAUACAUGCAAGUCGAGCGAACGGACGAGAAGCUUGCUUCUCUGAUGUUAGCGGCGGACGGGUGAGUAACACGUGGAUAACCUACCUAUAAGACUGGGAUAACUUCGGGAAACCGGAGCUAAUACCGGAUAAUAUUUUGAACCGCGUGGUUCAAAAGUGAAAGGCGGUCUUGCUGUCACUUAUAGAUGGAUCCGCGCUGCAUUAGCUAGUUGGUAAGGUAACGGCUUACCAAGGCAACGAUGCAUAGCCGACCUGAGAGGGUGAUCGGCCACACUGGAACUGAGACACGGUCCAGACUCCUACGGGAGGCAGCAGUAGGGAAUCUUCCGCAAUGGGCGAAAGCCUGACGGAGCAACGCCGCGUGAGUGAUGAAGGUCUUCGGAUCGUAAAACUCUGUUAUUAGGGAAGAACAUAUGUGUAAGUAACUGUGCACAUCUUGACGGUACCUAAUCAGAAAGCCACGGCUAACUACGUG